RNAcentral lists this ribosomal RNA (1006 nucleotides) under Vibrio harveyi. RNAcentral's name for it is "partial 23S ribosomal RNA". It matches the Rfam family "Bacterial large subunit ribosomal RNA", at positions 419 to 1429 of the family's 2925-position model. Lineage: Bacteria; Pseudomonadati; Pseudomonadota; Gammaproteobacteria; Vibrionales; Vibrionaceae. The record is from RNAcentral.
GGGACACGUGAUAUCCUGUCUGAAUAUGGGGGGACCAUCCUCCAAGGCUAAAUACUACUGACUGACCGAUAGUGAACCAGUACCGUGAGGGAAAGGCGAAAAGAACCCCUGUGAGGGGAGUGAAAUAGAACCUGAAACCGUGUACGUACAAGCAGUAGGAGCACCUUCGUGGUGUGACUGCGUACCUUUUGUAUAAUGGGUCAGCGACUUAUAUUCAGUGGCAAGGUUAACCAUCUAGGGGAGCCGUAGGGAAACCGAGUCUUAACUGGGCGUUCAGUCUCUGGAUAUAGACCCGAAACCAGGUGAUCUAGCCAUGGGCAGGUUGAAGGUUGAGUAACAUCAACUGGAGGACCGAACCGACUAAUGUUGAAAAAUUAGCGGAUGACUUGUGGCUAGGGGUGAAAGGCCAAUCAAACCUGGAGAUAGCUGGUUCUCCCCGAAAGCUAUUUAGGUAGCGCCUCGGACGAAUACUACUGGGGGUAGAGCACUGUUAAGGCUAGGGGGUCAUCCCGACUUACCAACCCUUUGCAAACUCCGAAUACCAGUAAGUACUAUCCGGGAGACACACGGCGGGUGCUAACGUCCGUCGUGGAGAGGGAAACAACCCAGACCGCCAGCUAAGGUCCCAAAUUACUACUAAGUGGGAAACGAUGUGGGAAGGCUCAGACAGCCAGGAUGUUGGCUUAGAAGCAGCCAUCAUUUAAAGAAAGCGUAAUAGCUCACUGGUCGAGUCGGCCUGCGCGGAAGAUGUAACGGGGCUAAGUAGUAAACCGAAGCUGCGGCAAUGCACUUUAGUGCAUUGGGUAGGGGAGCGUUCUGUAAGCGGUUGAAGGUGUGUGGUAACGCAUGCUGGACGUAUCAGAAGUGCGAAUGCUGACAUGAGUAACGAUAAAGGGGGUGAAAAACCUCCUCGCCGGAAGACCAAGGGUUCCUGUCCAACGUUAAUCGGGGCAGGGUAAGUCGACCCCUAAGGCGAGGCCGAAAGGCGUAGUCGAUGGGAAACGGG